Non-coding RNA from Callithrix jacchus (white-tufted-ear marmoset), 1727 nucleotides. The record is from RefSeq and is a predicted model, not a curated record. NCBI's taxonomy places the organism in Eukaryota, Metazoa, Chordata, Mammalia, Primates, Cebidae.
CAUGAGUGUAUGAGAACAUGUCUGAGUAUGUACAGAUGUGGAGGGAGGGGAAUGGGUGCUGGAGACACGGGCAGGGACAGUAUCAUGGUUGCCAUGCCAGCUACAUUUUCUCACUUCACACUCUCAGCAAUGCCAUGUGAUAGACAUUAUAAUCUGUUUAUAGAUGAGAAAAUUUGAUUUAGACAAAUUAAGUACCCUGCCAAGUCAUUCUGAUGAAUGGUAGAGCUGAGCCUUGACUCUCAGUCAGCAAAGCUGAUGACCUUCUUACAUCCCAUGCUGAAAAGCAAGAUGGCCAGGGCCCUGACAUUGUUUCAGGGUAAAGCAGCCAGGAGACAUCAGAAGCAGGAGCUGUGCUGUGUUCAUCCUGAAAAGUCCUGGAGGAGGAAGCCACCUAUGGGUGUCUGGGCGGGUGAUGGGGGCAGGUGGAAGUGGAGGGGCAAGGCUAAACCUUUAAGGAACUUCCUAUAGGUGAGCACUCCUGGGAGAAUCAGAACACUGGGAGGAAAGAGGUCGAGGACACAGCCUUCCUGCUGUGUAGAUAGAACCUUCUGGUGGAUGGAAAUUUCCAUGAAUGCUUCAGCCUUUCUGCCUGGCUUUACAGGGAAAUGGAUUUUAGAGCUACUGGCCAGAAGAUCACCUUUACGGAAAGCAUCUUGCAGUCAACCCCCUCCCCAAGCCGCCUUCCAGUAAGAGGCACAAUGGAAGGUCCCCAGUCUGGAGCAAGGAUAGGGGCCAACUGAACUGCCAUGAGAGACAGUGACGGUGCUGAGGGUGAAGGCUAUUUGUCAGGGAGAUCCUGAGAAAGGCUAAGGAAACCUGGCACAGAGGAUGUGAAAUGGGGGAAAUGUGAGGCUCCCUGAAGAAGUGAUGGAGCUUGCAGAGGGCGCCCUAUGUGCCGGGCGCUGGCCUAGGCGCUUUCCAGCUGAUACCUCGCUUAUCCUCAGGGCAACCUGAUGAGGUAGGUACCAUUAUUACCUAUUUUACAGAUGAGGAAACUGAGCCAUGUGGAGGUGGAAAAGCCAAGACUGAUCCCAGGCAGCCUGGCUCUGUGUGCUGAACAGUCGUACUUUUUGCCCUCUGGUAUCUCAUACGUGGAAGGCAGGCAGGGAACAGAGGAGAAUGGUUGAGGCUGAAUUGGUACAUAAGCGCAAGGGCCCAGGGUCCUGAGUGGUGCCUGAGAACAGAGGGGCCCAAGCUGUUGGGCCAUAGAGCAGACUGCCUGGUGUCUGCCAGGUAGUAGAUUAUCCCUAAGUGUUGAACUGAAAUCAAGCAUCGCUAUCUGACCUGUCAGCCCUGUCUCUCCAGGUCAUCAAUAUUUCUCUUAAUUCUUUGAUUUUCUCAAACUGGGUAAACCACAGAAAUUGUGUAUUUCUUUUCCUUAAUUUUUUUUUUUUUUUUCCGAGAUGGAGUCUUGCUGUCACCCAGGCUGGAGUGCAGUGGUGUGAUUUCGGCUCACUGCAACCUCCGCCUGGAUUCAAGCGAUUCUCCUGCCUCAGCCUCCUGAAUAGCUGGGAUUACAGGCAUGUGCCACCACACCUGACUAAUUUUUCGUCUUUUUAGUAGAGACAGGGUUUCACUGUGUUAGCCUGGAUGGUCUCCAUCUCCUGACCUUGAGAUCCACCCACCUUGGCCUCCCAAAGUGCUAGGAUUACAGGCAUGAGCCAUCACGCCUGGCCGGAAAAUGUUUAUUUCUUUAAAAAAACAGAUUGUCCAGUUCAGGGAACAGG